Molecule: ribosomal RNA, 468 nt
Filed under: uncultured bacterium
Lineage: Bacteria
Description: partial 16S ribosomal RNA
Rfam family: Bacterial small subunit ribosomal RNA
Source: RNAcentral
GACGAACGCUGGCGGCGUGCUUAACACAUGCAAGUCGAACGGAAAGACCCUGCUUUUGUGGGGUGCUCGAGUGGCGAACGGGUGAGUAACACGUGAGUAACCUGCCCUUGACUUUGAGAUAACUUCAGGAAACUGGGGCUAAUACCGGAUAGGAGCUCCUGCUGCAUGGUGGGGGUUGGAAAGUUUCGGCGGUUGGGGAUGGACUCGCGGCUUAUCAGCUUGUUGGUGGGGUAGUGGCUUACCAAGGCUUUGACGGGUAGCCGGCCUGAGAGGGUGACCGGCCACAUUGGGACUGAGAUACGGCCCAGACUCCUACGGGAGGCAGCAGUGGGGAAUAUUGCACAAUGGGCGGAAGCCUGAUGCAGCAACGCCGCGUGCGGGAUGACGGCCUUCGGGUUGUAAACCGCUUUCGCCUGUGACGAAGCGUGAGUGACGGUAAUGGGUAAAGAAGCACCGGCUAACUACGUG